AUGACAAAGAAAAGGAGUCAUCGCAGACGCAAUCUAAAUGCAAUGCAGAAAACAACUCGCACAGAAGACGCUGCUGUCAGUGCAAACGAAGACAGGCUUAGCAAGCUGCCGCAUGACCUUCUGCUCAACAUCCUGGAGAGGGUGGACACGCUCGAUGCAAUAAGGACCUGCAUCCUCUCCAAGCAAAUGCUUAAGCUCCCCACCAUGCUCUCGCAGUUCUUCCUAAGUUGUAGUUCCAUUCCAGGUUUCCAGGAUAAAACUCGUGUUAUCACCCCCAGUGACGUGCUUCGAACCAACAGUGUUGUGGCUCAUGUUACGGAUAACAUCUUGAGCACAAGGAGCCAGGAGAUCACCAUCAGGAAACUCAAAAUCAGAUUCGUCUUGAGGCUACAUGACUCUGUCAGCAUUGGCAAAUCUGUUGCCCGUGCCAUGGCAACCCAGAAGGUUGGUGCAGCUGAAUUUGAGGUCCUAACGGAGAAGCCUUAUGAGUGGUGCUCUCCUGCAGAUCUCCUCCAUUGUGCACAUCAGUUCAAUGAUUUUGUCGGUGCUUGUCAGGAUGCAUUUGCUGGCCUGAGGCGCCUGUGGUUGCGCAAUAUGAGGUUUAGUGAACUGGACAUCCAUAACAUACUCAGCACUUGCAAGCUCUUGGAGUCACUGCGUUUAACCGAUUGCGACUCAGGGAUCCAUUCUGUGCUGCAAGUAGAACAUGGUGAACUUGUUGAGCUUGAGGUCGAAUAUGGAAAAUUUGAGAGUGUGGAACUGAUAUAUGUACCAAAACUCCAACGGGUGAGAUAUAAGAGUUGGUCCUCUUAUAAAAAUCCUGUGUAUUUUGGUUUUGUACCACAGUUUACAAAGCUUAGCCUCAGUAAAACUGGUGUCUGUUUGGAUAAGACUCUUCAGUUAAGCCAGCUUCUUGCUAAUGUUCCUUCAAUAAGCGAUCUGCAUCUGAAUUUUGAAAGUGAGAAGACUUGGGUCCUGCCAGAAUGUCUGAAACUGCUCAAGCCUGUGCUCAGCAAAUUACAGCACGUCAGUCUGGAUCAUCUUCCUGAAGGAUGUGAUUUAGCUUGGACAAUGUUUAUUCUUGAAGCUGCACCCUUUCUAAGAGAGCUGUGCAUCACAGUAUGGGACCAUUGGUGCAUCAUGAUGACAGACAAAGACUUUCGAAAGGAAAAUGGCUACUGCGAAAAGGCAGAUGUGAAGUGGAAGCCAUAUGACCCUGAUUUCAAGCACAAGAAUCUAGUUAAGCUCACCAUCUAUGGCUUCCAAGCCGACAACAACUUUGUGCGGUACAUUAGGAGCGUCAUGGUACAUGCAGUUAAUAUGACAGAGAUAUCUCUUCAUGACAGGAAGGUAUGUGGGCGCUGUGGUACCUUGGGUCUCAAGGUUUGUCCAUCAAACUAUCCACGGACUGCCAAGAAGAGGGGGCAGAUAAUUGAGAUGGUUGGUUUGGCUUCACAGCAACAGAUCUACUUUCAGCCCUAA
Molecule: ribosomal RNA, 1482 nt
Filed under: Triticum aestivum (bread wheat)
Lineage: Eukaryota; Viridiplantae; Streptophyta; Magnoliopsida; Poales; Poaceae
Description: partial small subunit ribosomal RNA
Source: RNAcentral